GGAAUGCUUGAAGAGAACCCAUAAACUAAACGUCGAACGAGCCUUCCGUUCUUCGGCGAGACAGAGACAGCCAGACAGCUUUAUGUUCGUUGUUCGGCAGUAGAGGAGGCAAAGGGGAAAAAGAAGUCAUCUUUCUCCUCAGUGAACCCAUCGUUGAUAUUAUCCAGAGCUAUGCUUCUUCUUUUCAGAAGCAAAGGUGAUGGGAGCACAUGUAACUGUGGCCCCGUAUGACAUCAAGUCGUCUGCUUAGUGAUUUCAAGAUUGCAUAACAUCUGUUUGAUGAAAUGCUUCAGCGGGAACAUAGGAGGUGGCAAUAUGGUUUUCGCUGUUGAUUGGAGGAUAGUAGGCGGGGGAUGAUUGUGUGGAAGCGGUGUAUUCAUGGUUCACGUAAAAUUUAAGCUUACCAAUCAAUCGAAUAGGAAUCCAUUUCUAGAUCCCCGCCCUCGAAGCAAAACAACGUCCCAGUCUCUUCUUCGGGAAUCGUGAAGGUACGAGUCCAUAUAUGCACAGGGUUGUGUGCGAUUAAGCUACGAAGAUUGGGUUUUGUGCGGAUUCGAGAUUUUCGUUUCUGAAACAUAAGUGGGUGUCUUUUGGCUUGUUAUUUGUCAUGGUUGUUCAUAUGAAGAUGCGAAGCAUUUGGCGUCUUGCUCAUUUUGGAAAACUCGAUGCCCUCAAGUACACGUACACUGCCUUUGCUAGAUAUUGUCACUCUGAGCCACUCGGUGUCACUGCUACUUAUUUGGAACCAUCGCCUUCAUCAAGUAACAAGAAUAGUGUGGCCAUCUUUUGGGAUUUAGACAACAAGCCCCCUAAUUCGUUCCCUCCAUUUGAUGCUGCUAUCAAGCUCAGAGCUUCGGCUUCUUCGUUCGGUGUGGUCCAGUACAUGGUGGCUUAUGCUAAUCGUCACGCAUUCAGCCACAUCCCUCCAGUUGUUAGAGAGCAGAGGAAAGAGAGGAAGGUGUUGAACAAGUUGGAAAAUAAGGGUGUGAUCAGGCUGGUGGAGCCGUACUUGUGUCGCGUGUGUGGGAGGAAAUUCUAUACAAACGAAAAAUUUGUUAAUCAUUUCAAGCAAAUCCACGAGCGCGAACAUAUGAAGAGGGUGAGUCAAAUAGAGUCCGCGAGGGGAAAGAGGAGGGUGAACUUGGUUGCUAAGUACUCGAUGAAAAUGGAGAAGUACAAGAGUGCCGCGAGGGAUGCUUUGACCCCCAAAGUCGGGUACGGUUUAGCGGAUGAGUUGAAACGAGCGGGGUUUUUCGUGAAUAUGGUCUCAGAUAGGCCUCAAGCAGCGGAUGUUGCAUUGAGGAAUAACAUGGUUGAUGUGAUGGAUAAGAGGAAGGCUGAUUGUUUGGUCCUGGUCUCAGAUGAUUCGGAUUUUGUUGAUGUUUUGAAGGAAGCGAAGCUGAGGUGUCUUAGGACUGUUGUUGUGGGAGAUAUAAACGACGGACCUUUGAAGAGAACGGCAGAUGUUGGGUUCUCGUGGAGGGAUAUUCUGAUGGGGAAGGCUAAGAAAGAAGCUGUGUCGGUUAUGGGCCAUUGGAAAGACCGUGACAUUUUGAAGAGGCUGGAGUGGACUUACAACCCAGAAGUGGAUAGGAAAAUGUAUGAUUAUUAUGACGAGAGUGAAAGCCAGGAUUUUGAAGACAGUGAGGGCGGAGUAGAUGUUGAAUUUAUAGAAAAAGAUGAUAGGAGAGCUUGGUGGGAUCUGGACUCAGAUGAUGAUGCUUCUUCUCAGGCAUCUCAUUUAUCUUCAUGAUCGUUGAUGAACCGAAUUGAUUUGGCACAUAUAUCGGUAGACGCAGAAUCAGUUGAGUCAUCAAUAUUUAACACUGCAUCCUUCUGGCAGAACUUUCUCUCUCUCAAUUUCGAGGGCUUUCUGGCUAAUCUGUGGAUGAUGAUGCAGAAAUGUGGUCGAGCUCAAAGGCUUAAGUUAAGUUGAACUCCUACCUAAGCAGGAUCAGAGGAAGUUAUUAUCAGGCAGGAUCAGAAGCUUGCAGGGAAUUUAUGCUGUUGCAGACUUGCAGGGUAUUAGAGAGCUCAAACCUUCCAGUUCAACAUCACUUUGCAGAUCUUCAGGCUUCCACGACGUGGCAGUUAGAAAG
RNA transcript from Rhodamnia argentea, 2099 nucleotides. RefSeq lists it as uncharacterized. Lineage: Eukaryota; Viridiplantae; Streptophyta; Magnoliopsida; Myrtales; Myrtaceae. The record is from RefSeq and is a predicted model, not a curated record. The transcript is spliced from 2 exons.